AAAUAGAUACCCCGGGUAGUCCACGCCCUAAACGAUGCGAACUGGAUGGUUGGGUUCAACUUGGAACCCAGUAUCGAAGCUAACGCGUUAAGUUCGCCGCCUGGGGAGUACGGUCGCAAGACUGAAACUCAAAGGAAUUGACGGGGGCCCGCACAAGCGGUGGAGUAUGUGGUUUAAUUCGAUGCAACGCGAAGAACCUUACCUGGUCUUGACAUCCACGGAACUUUCCAGAGAUGGAUUGGUGCCUUCGGGAACCGUGAGACAGGUGCUGCAUGGCUGUCGUCAGCUCGUGUCGUGAGAUGUUGGGUUAAGUCCCGCAACGAGCGCAACCCUUGUCCUUAGUUGCCAGCACGUAAUGGUGGGAACUCUAAGGAGACCGCCGGUGACAAACCGGAGGAAGGUGGGGAUGGACGUCAAGGUCAUCAUGGCCCUUACGACCCAGGGCUACACACGUACUACAAUGGUGGGGACAGAGGGCCGCAAUCCCGGCGAGGGUGAGCCAAUCCCGAGAAACCCCAUCUCAGUCCGGAUCGGAGUCUGCAACUCGACU
Molecule: ribosomal RNA, 550 nt
Filed under: uncultured bacterium
Lineage: Bacteria
Description: bacterial SSU rRNA
Rfam family: Bacterial small subunit ribosomal RNA
Source: RNAcentral